CUCUGAGUGAGAUUAGAAGACUUUGGAGAGUCACAGAGGGACAACUGAUACAUUUUUCGGGAUCAACUUGGACACCAAAUGGAGACCAACCUUUCAGGGUAAAGGGAAUGGGGAAGGAGACCACAUAACCUCAGCAAGAGUUAAUGGAGGCUUGUAUCAGACUGGUGACCAUGGAGAUGGUGAGGAGUAGCUGGAUCCAGGAUGUAUUUUGAAGGUAACUAGGUAUCCUGUAAGAUUGGGCUCAUGAUAUGAGUGAAAUAGAAGGGUGUUUUGUUCUGAGCAAUGGGAAAGAUGGAGUUGCCAGAGCUGAGACUGGGGAGUCCAUCCCAGGACUGGGUUUGUUGGGGAAAGGAAAGGAGUUUAAUUUUCAAAAUAAGUAUGAGACAUGCAAGGAGAUAAAUCAAAUACUCAUUGUAGUACAAAUAUGAAGAAACAAUCCAGAAUGAAAGGAAAAAAGAGCUGUCAGUAUGCAGAUUAUAUUGGAAGCAAUGAGAGAUAAUGAGAUCACCCAAGGAGUGAAUGGAGACAGAGUAAGGUGGUAGUCCGAGGAGUGAGUUUUGAGAAACUCUAACAUCAAGACAUCAAUCUAAUGAGAAGAUGUCAGCUGACAGUAAGAGAUCUGUCAGUGAGGAGCCAGGAAAACCAGGACAGUGUGUGUGAUGGCUUGUAAGUCAAGUGAAGGAAGCGUUUCUAGGAGGUUGUUGCUGCUGCUGCUAAGUCGCUUUAGUCAUGUCUGACUCUGUGUGACCCCACAGAUGGCAGCCUACCAGCCUCCGCCGUCCCUGGGAUUCUCCAGGCAAGAACACUGGAGUGCACUGCCAUUUCCUUCUCCAGUUUGUAGGAGGAGGGGAUGAUAAAAUAUAUGUUGCUAAUAGGUGAUGAAGCUCAAAAUGAGGGCUGAUAACUGACUCUUUGGUAUAGCCCUGUGGAUGUCCAUGAUAACCUUGAGAAGAGCAAUUUUGAUGGAGAGGUAGAGAUGACAGCUUGAUUAGAGGUGAUGGGGGAAAAUGGGUGGUGAGCCUACUCACCAGCGGUCAGGAGUUGUACAAAUUACAGAGCUUCAAAUUCUUCAUCCCUCCCUGUCUUCUUCCCUUACUCCCCUCUUUGCUUCUUCCCUCUCCCUCCGUUUCUUUCUCCUUCCCUGCCUUCCUUCUUUCUUUCCUUGAUCUAUAAAGUCUACAAAGGGAUCUGUAUCUAUAAAGGGAUAAUAAUAUCUAUUUCAUGAACAUUUUAUGAUGUCUGGUAUGUAAAGCGUGGUAAGGUGUGGCAUGUCUUCCUAAAAAUAGUCCCUUCCUGGUCUUGUAGGAUCCUAUGUCUCGUUCCCUCAGUGUCUGGAACAAGAGCUGCACAAGUAGGUGCCCAUUAAAUGCUCACUGAUGGAGAUGAGUUAGGUCUACAGGCCUCCUUCUGGCCCAAGAGCCUGGCUAUUUCUUUGGAUCAAACAGGAAAGCUUUCUUGUUAAAGGCUGAAUUUCCUCAUGGAAGAGAUGGUGCCAUUUUCUACUUAAUUUCUCCACUUUCUGGUACUUAGAAAAUACUUAGUAAAUGCUAGACUCCCCUGGUGGUGCAGUGGAUAAAAGUCCACCUGCCAAUGCAGCAGACACUGGUUCGAUUCCUGGUCCAGGAAGAUUCUACAUGCUGUGAAGCAACUAAGCCUGUGUAUCACAAUGACGGAGCCUGCAUGCUGCAACUAUUCAAGCCCGAGUGCCUGGAGUCUGUGCUCCACAACCAAAAAAAAACAGCCGUGACAAUGAGAAGCCCACACACCACAGUGAAGAGCAGCCCCCACUCACUUCAACUAGAGAAAGUCUGUGCAAAAGCAUCAAAGACCCAGUGCAACCAAAAAUAAAUUUUAAAGAAACUGUAAUAAAAUAAUAGGAACUUGAAAAGCUUUUUAAAAAGAUUAUACUCAGUAAAUGUUAAUGGGAUAAACAUAUGACCAAAACUCUC
This is a long non-coding RNA of Bos taurus (domestic cattle), 1949 nucleotides long. The record is from Ensembl. Lineage: Eukaryota; Metazoa; Chordata; Mammalia; Artiodactyla; Bovidae.